RNAcentral lists this non-coding RNA (185 nucleotides) under Crenobacter caeni. RNAcentral's name for it is "6S RNA". It matches the Rfam family "6S / SsrS RNA". From Rfam's summary of the family: E. coli 6S RNA was the first non coding RNA to be sequenced, but its function was unknown until recently. It consists of 184 nucleotides that fold into an extended hairpin structure with a large single-stranded internal bulge. The record is from RNAcentral. Lineage: Bacteria; Pseudomonadati; Pseudomonadota; Betaproteobacteria; Neisseriales; Neisseriaceae.
AUCCCCCUGCGGUGUGCGAGAAGGCACAUAAUUUCCUUGAACCAAUGUGUUCGCUUUGGUUGUUGGCGUUAACGUGUACCGGCGUGUCGCUCCGCUUGUCGGAAGCGCCCAAAGUGCAAGGCCGAUGACCCCCUUUGUCCAAGGGUUCAAGCGAAUUUCGCCGGAUCGCCACUCGCGGGGGGCUC